UACGUAGGGUGCGAGCGUUGUCCGGAAUUACUGGGCGUAAAGAGCUCGUAGGUGGUUUGUCGCGUUGUCCGUGAAAACUCACAACUCAAUUGUGGGCGUGCGGGCGAUACGGGCAGACUGGAGUACUGCAGGGGAGACUGGAAUUCCUGGUGUAGCGGUGGAAUGCGCAGAUAUCAGGAGGAACACCGGUGGCGAAGGCGGGUCUCUGGGGCAGUAACUGACGCUGAGGAGCGAAAGCGUGGGGAGCGAACAGG
This 254-nucleotide ribosomal RNA is filed under the name uncultured bacterium. RNAcentral describes it as "partial 16S ribosomal RNA". It matches the Rfam family "Bacterial small subunit ribosomal RNA", at positions 524 to 776 of the family's 1533-position model. The record is from RNAcentral.